UGCGCAGGCGGACUAAUAAGUCAGAGGUGAAAUCCCACAGCUUAACUGUGGAACUGCCUUUGAUACUGUUAGUCUUGAGUGCAGUUGAGGUAGGCGGAAUGUGUCAUGUAGCGGUGAAAUGCUUAGAUAUGACACAGAACACCAAUCGUGAAGACAGCUUACCAAGCUGCUACUGACGCUCAGGCACGAAAGCGUGGGUAGCGAACAGGAUUAGAUACCCUGGUAGUCC
RNAcentral lists this ribosomal RNA (229 nucleotides) under uncultured bacterium. RNAcentral's name for it is "partial 16S ribosomal RNA". It matches the Rfam family "Bacterial small subunit ribosomal RNA", at positions 568 to 796 of the family's 1533-position model. The record is from RNAcentral.